GGCGACAUACCCAAGUGGUUAAGGGAGCGGUCUGCAAAAUCGCCAUCUCCGGUUCGAAUCCGGAUGUCGCCU
Molecule: transfer RNA, 72 nt
Filed under: candidate division KSB3 bacterium
Lineage: Bacteria
Description: tRNA-Cys
Rfam family: tRNA
About the family: Transfer RNA (tRNA) molecules are approximately 80 nucleotides in length. Their secondary structure includes four short double-helical elements and three loops (D, anti-codon, and T loops).
Source: RNAcentral